Molecule: ribosomal RNA, 292 nt
Filed under: uncultured bacterium
Lineage: Bacteria
Description: partial 16S ribosomal RNA
Source: RNAcentral
GGACUACACGGGUUUCUAAUCCUGUUUGCUCCCCACGCUUUCGUACCUCAGCGUCAGGAAUGGACCAAGAAGCUGCCUUCGCCAUUGGUGUUCCUCUCGAGAUCUAAGCAUUUUACCGCUACUCCGAGAAUUCCACUUCUCUCUUCCACCCUCUAGCAUGCCAGUUUCGAUUGCACUUCUCCGGUUGAGCCGGAGCCUUUAACAAUAGACUUAACACACCGCCUACGUACCCUUUACGCCCAAUCAUUCCGAAUAACGCUUGCACCCUUCGUAUUACCGCGGCGGCUGGCAC